GCGGAUAUGGCGGAAUUGGCAGACGCGCUGGUUUUAGGUACCAGUGGGCAACCGUGCAGGUUCAAGUCCUGUUAUCCGCAUCA
RNAcentral lists this transfer RNA (83 nucleotides) under Ruminococcus sp. CAG:90. Its description in RNAcentral is "transfer RNA-Leu(TAG)". It matches the Rfam family "tRNA". Rfam says of the family: Transfer RNA (tRNA) molecules are approximately 80 nucleotides in length. Their secondary structure includes four short double-helical elements and three loops (D, anti-codon, and T loops). The record is from RNAcentral. RNAcentral also lists the same sequence under 4 other names. Lineage: Bacteria; Bacillati; Bacillota; Clostridia; Eubacteriales; Oscillospiraceae.